This 1023-nucleotide long non-coding RNA is filed under the name Ananas comosus (pineapple). RNAcentral's name for it is "long non-coding RNA (ACOM_LNC016952)". The record is from RNAcentral. Lineage: Eukaryota; Viridiplantae; Streptophyta; Magnoliopsida; Poales; Bromeliaceae.
CCUUUCACUCGUUUAUAUAGAAUUGAGCUCUUAUACCAUUUAAAAGUAUUAAGUCAUUAAUGCUUGUAAAUUUUGGACUCUUGGAUUGAGUAAUGUAUGGUUGGAAUAAUAGCGAUCCCAUAGGAUCGAUUGAGCGGGUGGUUGGUUGAUAGUAUGGUCUAACGGAUAAAAAUGAUCAAAAGGUAAAUCCAACAGCAAAAAACUUACAAACAGUAAGUAUUUUGUCCUUUUAAAAGCAAUAGCCUCUCUCUCUCUCUCUCUCUCUCUCUCUCUCUCUCUAUAUAUAUAUAUACUCCUAAGCCGUUUUCGAUUAUGAAAAUUUCGAAUCGACGAUCAGCUCAUUACACUUGAUUUAGCGUAUUUAAAGUAUCUAAAAAAAUAAAUUUUGUAAUUUUUUUGAUAUUCUUUACCUUGCGAUCGAAAAUGUUCAAAAUCAAUUGUUAAAAAUAAAAAUCUCAUAAAAGAUAGUGAUAUAGCACUAAAAUUUUUUAUCAGAUAUAUUGAUCUUGUUGUAGAUAGUAUGAAAAAAUUUUUAUUAAAAUUUCAUCUUAUUUGGGUACUUUUACACCGUUAAACUUAAAAAUGGCAGGCAUCAACAAUUGUAAAUAUUAAUUUUGAACCCAUUUGAUCGUUAGGUAAAUAAUAUCGAAAAAUUGCAAAAUUUAUUUUCUAGAUAUUUCAAAUAUGGUAGAUCAAGUCUAACGAGGCCAAUCAUCGAUUCGAAAAUUCAAUCAUACAGCUUAGGAGCACGGAGGUCUCCAUGCUUUUAAGAGCACAGCAGCCCCUCUAUCUCUCUCUACCUAUAUAUAUACAUAUAUAUUAAUAAAAAUGUAUAAAACUUAUCAAAACUAUGAUUCUCUUUGGGAUGACUACAUUUUUUUUUUUUUGAAAGAAAAGUAGUAUGCUAUCCGCUUCGUAAAUUUUUCUUUUAGAAAUAUAUAAAAUUAACUGAAAAUGUGAAUCAACUAGGAUUUAAGCUUAAAACCUCAGGUACUGACCACCAAAAUGCUAUAUAUUAACAAA